GACAGAGGUCCCGAGCGUUAGGCGGAAUCACUGGGCUUAAAGCGUGUGUAGGCGGAUUGGUAAGUACCUUGUGAAAUCCCACGGCUUAACCGUGGAACUGCUGGGUAUACUGCUUAUCUUGGGCCACUUAGGGGUUACCGGAACAAACGGUGGAGCGGUGAAAUGCGUAGAUAUCGUUUGGAACGCCAAUGGUGAAAACAGGUAACUGGGAGUGUGCCGACGCUGAGACACGAAAGCCAGGGGAGCGAACGGG
Molecule: ribosomal RNA, 253 nt
Filed under: uncultured bacterium
Lineage: Bacteria
Description: partial 16S ribosomal RNA
Rfam family: Bacterial small subunit ribosomal RNA
Source: RNAcentral